CACAGCUGGAACUAUUGGAACAUUCCAGGAGAUGAAAACAAAGAUUCCCUCCUCCUUCCCUUCCAUCUUACUGAGGACCCAUCAGUCACCCUUGUGAGUGCACUUUAGCCAUAGCAAGAGCAAGAUCAGAGAGAAAUAAGGACUUAUGACCAUUAGACCAGGAGACAGGAAGCGAUGGUUCUGGAAGGGGCUCUGUUACUAACUUUGGAAUUCAACUGUCCAGAUAGAAAGGUGGACAUGGAAAAAUUGGGCUUUGCAAAUGGUCACCCAAUUCUUGCCUUCCUGGUCUCCAGAUCACCCUUCCUAUACCGCCACUCUGGAGAAAGAAGUACAGAACGCUAACAAGGAUGGCUUGGAGUUGCAGUGGUCACCUCAGAUCUUAAGGUCACUUUGGAGAUGGAACCCCUGUGACUAGGAAUGGCAGAACAGAAAGGUAGAAAGAGAUUGAGUCCUGGGGAUGUGGCAGAGCCACCAUCCUAGCCCCGUACUGCGUACUUCUGGACUUCCUUUAAAUUGAGAGAAACAUGUUCCUACCAUAUUUAACCAUUUGGUGUUCUAAACCCCAUUCCUAGCUCUGGAAUGCCCUGGCAGAGCUGGUGCUGGCUGGGACCCCAGUGGUCCUUGGUGACCUUGCUCAGCAGUGCUCUUUCCACAAAUGACCCCACUACUAUCAUGUGCAGAACUAUCUUGGUGUGUGUGUGUGCAUGAGCAGACAUCCACAGCCAAGUAAUUUUCAAAGCUGUCAGCUCUGCUCUCCUGUAGCCUCCUGCUCCCCACUGCCUUCUCAUUUCCACCAGAGGAAGGUGAGGCUGCUGGUGAGGAGCUUUUUCCUUUUCCCUUUUCUGAAUUGUUUACUAUAUUAAACACUCAAUAUCCACUGCCCAGAAUAUUAUUAUGCUAAUAUUUCUCUGAUUUAUUUUUACUUUUAUUUGUAAUUAAAGAAAUAAAACACUAUAGGUACUAUCGCACCCUUUUUAUCCUUUCUGUGAGCCUAUUCUACUCCUUCUUCCAAAAAGGCAUUCUCUUGAACUUGCAUGCAUUCUGUGUUUUUAUGCUUCUAUUAUGCAUAUGUCUGAAUCCAUACGUGAUUGAUAACAUUGUUUUAUAUGUUUUAAAUAUGUGUGUAAAUGGUAUAUUAAUGUGGUUUGAUUUUUUACACAGACCUUGGAUUUUUUCAAGAUCAUCCUUCUUGAUGCCUGCAUCUAGCUCACGGGAACUCACUGCUGUGCCUGUACAGUGUUUUCCCAUUGCUCUAUUGAUGAACAUUUAAAUUGUUUUCCAAUUUUCAAUAUUGUAAAUAAUGCAAUAAUAAACAUCCUCUUAC
RNAcentral lists this long non-coding RNA (1324 nucleotides) under Homo sapiens (human). RNAcentral describes it as "HSALNT0250730". The record is from RNAcentral. Lineage: Eukaryota; Metazoa; Chordata; Mammalia; Primates; Hominidae.